RNAcentral lists this ribosomal RNA (179 nucleotides) under uncultured bacterium. RNAcentral's name for it is "partial 16S ribosomal RNA". It matches the Rfam family "Bacterial small subunit ribosomal RNA", at positions 1320 to 1500 of the family's 1533-position model. The record is from RNAcentral.
AUGAAGUCGGAAUUGCUGUAAUGGCAGGUCAGCAUACUGCCGUGAAUACGUUCCCGGGCCCUUGUACACACCGCCCGUCACACCAUGAGAGUUGGGAAUACCCGAAGCCUGUGAGCCAACAAACGAGGCAGCAGUCGAAGGUAGAAUCAAUGAUUGGGGUGAAGUCGUAACAAGGUAGC